Long non-coding RNA from Anguilla rostrata (American eel), 1065 nucleotides. RefSeq lists it as uncharacterized. The record is from RefSeq and is a predicted model, not a curated record. The transcript is spliced from 2 exons. NCBI's taxonomy places the organism in Eukaryota, Metazoa, Chordata, Actinopteri, Anguilliformes, Anguillidae.
UACUAGCCUCCGUUCUACAUGGUCGCUAACAUUAACUAUCUGUCUAACGUUGGGUAAUGCUGUGUGCUUCAUCUGCUCUUCAUUCUCUACCUACAACAUUGUAACAUGCUUUCUUAACCGCCGUUAUAUAUCAGCCUUAGCUGUCGUUCAAGUUUUUGCUUAACUACGUAGUCAAAACAAAAUUCCCUUCCGAUAUUGCUUGUGUCGACAGUGCUGCGACGGAAACGACGAUACAUUUAGCCAGUCUAGCCACAUCUAUUCAAAAUGUAAACGAGUAAGGCGUUCUUCACGGUCGGGAAAAAUUUUAUGACCACCUUAGUCUUGUUGUUAGCCACUCUUAUGCAUAACACUUACUAACGUUAUUUGCUACGCGAAAAGUAUCAUGGAUGUGUAAGAUGUGUUCACCUAAGUAAUACAGACAUAACGCUAACGAGACUUUUCAUUGCAUCUGUUAUUUUAUUUAUUCGGUGUCCAAUAAAGACACACUGUCAGGGAGGUCGGCGUGAGAGCGUGACAGUCUGUGCACUUUCCAGUAAUGCACGCAUUCAGAAGGAGUCUGUUGCACACAGCUACAAUUUCACUCAAUCAACAUGUCAUAUGCACCAUUUUAAAGAAGAAUCUUGCCGCCUAGGAGAACUUCGUCAAUGUGGUCCACGGUGUGGGUGUUGCAAGCUUUAUAUUGUAUUGUAGCUGUCUGUCACAGUUAUUGCUUUAUAAAAUGUGUUGAUAAUCAGAAUGGUUGUUAACAGCCUGAUUGUUGACAGGAUGCAGGAGAGAUGUAACCCCUGAGAUCACAAUUUCCACUAUCUCUCUCUCUCUCUGCAGCAAUCCGCCAGGCCGUCUCCAGAUCUCUUGUGGCAUGCUACCAGAAAUAUGUGGAUGAAGCCUCUAAGAAGUAGAUCUGACAUCCUGAUCCAGUACCACGGGACCUUGUUGGUGGCCGACUCCCGCCACUCCUGGUCCGACGAGUUUGCUGGACCCGGAGCUCGCCCUCGCUACCAAAAGUCUUACUGUUAAAAAUGUUGUCUUUGCUUUUAUAUACAAUAAAAAUGAAAAUGACCUAAA